GAUGAACGCUAGCGGCAGGCUUAACACAUGCAAGUCGAGGGGUAGAAGCAGCUUGCUGCUUUGAGACCGGCGCACGGGUGCGUAACGCGUAUGCAAUCUACCUUUUACAGAGGGAUAGCCCAGAGAAAUUUGGAUUAAUACCUCAUAGUAUGUGAGAAUCGCAUGGUUUUCACAUUAAAGUUCCAACGGUAAAAGAUGAGCAUGCGUCCCAUUAGCUAGAUGGUAAGGUAACGGCUUACCAUGGCGACGAUGGGUAGGGGUCCUGAGAGGGAGAUCCCCCACACUGGUACUGAGACACGGACCAGACUCCUACGGAGGCAGCAGUGGGGAAUUUUGGACAAUGGACGCAAGUCUGAUCCAGCCAUUCCGCGUGCAGGAUGAAGGCCCCUCGGGUUGUAAAACUGCUUUUGUACGGAACGAAAAGGUUUCUAAUUAAUACUAGGAGCUCAUGACGGUACCGUAAGAAUAAGCACCGGCUAACUACGUGCCAGCAGCCG
This 497-nucleotide ribosomal RNA is filed under the name uncultured bacterium. RNAcentral describes it as "bacterial SSU rRNA". It matches the Rfam family "Bacterial small subunit ribosomal RNA", at positions 28 to 517 of the family's 1533-position model. The record is from RNAcentral.